GCAGCUGUCAAAAUAAAGGGUACUUGUCAAUUUUUCAUAAAGGGUGAUUUUUGCCCAUUUUUAAAUUCAAACUGUUUACCCAUUAAAGAGUGAAAAAUGUAUUAGGAAUGUUGACCGCUGUGCGAUUAGUUCCGGACAAGUCGAGGUCAAUUUAAUAGUUAAACUUGUGUUUAAAACAAUAUUUCAACAAUUUUCAGCAGAGGUUUCAAGAUGAGAAGUUUAACAGCAGUUCAUACACGUCAUCGAAGAGACCAUCGCCAUCAUUUUACAUCAUCAAACAUUGCUGUUCAUAGAAUUCUUGAAUAAUUGAUUAUACCGUACAUUUUAAUUGUUGAAAUAAAUCGUCUUCUAUGUGUAAACUAAUUCAAA
RNAcentral lists this long non-coding RNA (369 nucleotides) under Aedes aegypti (yellow fever mosquito). RNAcentral describes it as "lncRNA AAEL026583". The record is from RNAcentral. Lineage: Eukaryota; Metazoa; Arthropoda; Insecta; Diptera; Culicidae.